RNAcentral lists this unclassified non-coding RNA (209 nucleotides) under Hevea brasiliensis (rubber tree). Lineage: Eukaryota; Viridiplantae; Streptophyta; Magnoliopsida; Malpighiales; Euphorbiaceae. The record is from RNAcentral.
AUUGAAAGGGUUAUUUAAAAUGGCUUAUGAACUCACUACACUUUGUGGUGUUGAAAUGGCUAUAACCGUCUAUAGUCCUUACCAGAUUCAACCUAUUUUGUUUCCAAAUAAUGCUAACGCAUUCAAUACCUUUAAAAGGUUUAGUGAGCUUUCGGUGUUAGAUCAAUCAAAACACAUGAUGACGGGAGAAGAGUUGACGAAGCUAAGGA